Molecule: ribosomal RNA, 253 nt
Filed under: uncultured bacterium
Lineage: Bacteria
Description: partial 16S ribosomal RNA
Rfam family: Bacterial small subunit ribosomal RNA
Source: RNAcentral
UACGUAGGUGACAAGCGUUGUCCGGAUUUACUGGGCGUAAAGGGCGUGCAGGCGGUGGUGCGCGUUUUGUGUGACAGCGCGAGGCUUAACUUUGCGAGGAUACGAAAGACGGCAGCACUUGAGAGCGCGAGAGGGACACGGAAUUCCGGGUGGAGUGGUGAAAUGCGUAGAGAUCCGGAGGAACACCGAAGGCGAAGGCAGUGUCCUGGCGCGCAUCUGACGCUGAGGCGCGAAAGCCAGGGGAGCGAACGGG